AUUGAACGCUGGCGGCAUGCCUUACACAUGCAAGUCGAACGGCAGCAUAGGAGCUUGCUCCUGAUGGCGAGUGGCGAACGGGUGAGUAAUAUAUCGGAACGUGCCCUAGAGUGGGGGAUAACUAGUCGAAAGACUAGCUAAUACCGCAUACGAUCUACGGAUGAAAGUGGGGGAUCACAAGACCUCAUGCUCCUGGAGCGGCCGAUAUCUGAUUAGCUAGUUGGUGGGGUAAAAGCCUACCAAGGCAACGAUCAGUAGCUGGUCUGAGAGGACGGCCAGCCACACUGGGACUGAGACACGGCCCAGACUCCUACGGGAGGCAGCAGUGGGGAAUUUUGGACAAUGGGGGCAACCCUGAUCCAGCAAUGCCGCGUGAGUGAAGAAGGCCUUCGGGUUGUAAAGCUCUUUUGUCAGGGAAGAAACGGUAGUGGCGAAUAACUAUUACUAAUGACGGUACCUGAAGAAUAAGCACCGGCUAACUACGUGCCAGCCGCCGCCGUAA
RNAcentral lists this ribosomal RNA (502 nucleotides) under uncultured bacterium. RNAcentral's name for it is "partial 16S ribosomal RNA". It matches the Rfam family "Bacterial small subunit ribosomal RNA", at positions 30 to 523 of the family's 1533-position model. The record is from RNAcentral.